RNAcentral lists this ribosomal RNA (237 nucleotides) under uncultured bacterium. RNAcentral's name for it is "partial 16S ribosomal RNA". It matches the Rfam family "Bacterial small subunit ribosomal RNA", at positions 540 to 776 of the family's 1533-position model. The record is from RNAcentral.
GUUGUUCGGAAUUACUGGGCGUAAAGGGCGCGUAGGCGGCCUUCUAAGUCAGACGUGAAAUCCCCCGGCUUAACCUGGGAACUGCGUCUGAUACUGGAGGGCUUGAGUGCGGGAGAGGGAUGUGGAAUUCCAGGUGUAGCGGUGAAAUGCGUAGAUAUCUGGAGGAACACCGGUGGCGAAGGCGGCAUCCUGGACCGACACUGACGCUGAGGCGCGAAAGCUAGGGUAGCAAACGGG